Molecule: ribosomal RNA, 281 nt
Filed under: Blautia obeum
Lineage: Bacteria; Bacillati; Bacillota; Clostridia; Lachnospirales; Lachnospiraceae
Description: partial 16S ribosomal RNA
Rfam family: Bacterial small subunit ribosomal RNA
Source: RNAcentral
UACGUAGGGGGCAAGCGUUAUCCGGAUUUACUGGGUGUAAAGGGAGCGUAGACGGACUGGCAAGUCUGAUGUGAAAGGCGGGGGCUCAACCCCUGGACUGCAUUGGAAACUGUUAGUCUUGAGUGCCGGAGAGGUAAGCGGAAUUCCUAGUGUAGCGGUGAAAUGCGUAGAUAUUAGGAGGAACACCAGUGGCGAAGGCGGCUUACUGGACGGUAACUGACGUUGAGGCUCGAAAGCGUGGGGAGCAAACAGGAUUAGAUACCCCUGGUCGGCUGACGACU